UCAUCCAACUCGUGACACCUGUUCGUACAUUAAAAACCAUUUGAAGGUCAGUUUAUGUAAAAACGUAAUUAUACGGAUUAAUCUAACCAUUUAAAAACACUUAUGAGAAGUGAAAAUGUAUAAAUAUUGUAGUAUUUGUAGUAAGGUCUCGACAAUCAGGCUAGUUUGCUUUGAAAUAUUGUUGCGCAUGUACAGAUUGAAGCGGUUGCAGCUGCAGGACGCCGUUACUUUUAUAAGUGAACUCUUGACCAGUGCUUGAUGGACAAACCUUUCUUGUUCUUUUGAGAGUUCCAGGCUCAAUCAGCCAGGAAGUGUUAUGGAGCUCCUCGUUAGUAUAGUGGUAAGUAUCCCCGCCUGUCACGCGGGAGACCGGGG
Long non-coding RNA from Labeo rohita (rohu), 375 nucleotides. RefSeq lists it as uncharacterized. Lineage: Eukaryota; Metazoa; Chordata; Actinopteri; Cypriniformes; Cyprinidae. The transcript is spliced from 4 exons. The record is from RefSeq and is a predicted model, not a curated record.